GGAAAAGCUAUGAAGGAGCUAAGUAGUUUCCUAUAGUUACAAAAUCAGAGAGUAGACCGGUUGGUGAAAGGUCUAUAGUAUAUAGGAAUACGAAUUACACUCUGGAGUUUCGAAGCUAAAAACUUCGGCGGUUAAAAAAACCGUUAUCAAGAUUAAGGCAUUUGAAUUAUAUAAUUAAUUCAAAUGUAAAAUAAGGUGGUACCACGGGUCUUCUCGUCCUUAAA
RNAcentral lists this non-coding RNA (224 nucleotides) under Caminicella sporogenes. RNAcentral's name for it is "T-box sequence". It matches the Rfam family "T-box leader". Rfam says of the family: Uncharged tRNA acts as the effector for transcription antitermination of genes in the T-box leader family. T-boxes are found upstream of many aminoacyl-tRNA synthetase genes and some amino acid biosynthetic genes usually in Gram-positive bacteria. The record is from RNAcentral. Lineage: Bacteria; Bacillati; Bacillota; Clostridia; Peptostreptococcales; Caminicellaceae.